AGAGUUUGAUCCUGGCUCAGAAUCAACGCUGGCGGCGUGCCUAACACAUGCAAGUCGAACGAGAAAGUGGAGCAAUCCAUGAGUAAAGUGGCGCACGGGUGAGUAACACGUGACUAACCUACCCUUGAGUGGGGGAUAACUGGGAGAAAUCCUAGCUAAUACCGCAUAAUACCUACGGGUCAAAGGAGCAAUUCGCUUAAGGAGGGGGUCGCGGUCGAUUAGUUAGUUGGCGGGGUAAUGGCCCACCAAGACUGUGAUCGAUAUCCGGCCUGAGAGGGCGCACGGACACACUGGAACUGAAACACGGUCCAGACUCCUACGGGAGGCAGCAGUGGGGAAUUUUGCGCAAUGGGGGAAACCCUGACGCAGCAACGCCGCGUGGAGGAUGAAGUCCUUCGGGACGUAAACUCCUUUCGAUCGGGACGAUUAUGACGGUACCGGAAGAAGAAGCCCCGGCUAACUUCGUGCCAGCAGCCGCGGUAAUACGAGGGGGGCGAGCGUUGUUCGGAAUUAUUGGGCGUAAAGGGUGCGUAGGCGGUUUGGUAAGUCUUGUGUGAAAUCUACAGGCUCAACUUGUAGUCUGCACGAGAAACUGCCGGGCUUGAGUGUGGGAGAGGUGAGUGGAAUUUCCGGUGUAGCGGUGAAAUGCGUAGAUAUCGGAAGGAACACCUGUGGCGAAAGCGGCUCACUGGACCACAACUGACGCUGAUGCACGAAAGCUAGGGGAGCAAACAGGAUUAGAUACCCUAGUAGUCC
This 756-nucleotide ribosomal RNA is filed under the name uncultured bacterium. RNAcentral's name for it is "bacterial SSU rRNA". It matches the Rfam family "Bacterial small subunit ribosomal RNA", at positions 8 to 796 of the family's 1533-position model. The record is from RNAcentral.